Long non-coding RNA from Cyprinodon variegatus (sheepshead minnow), 2554 nucleotides. RefSeq lists it as uncharacterized. The record is from RefSeq and is a predicted model, not a curated record. The transcript has 3 exons. Lineage: Eukaryota; Metazoa; Chordata; Actinopteri; Cyprinodontiformes; Cyprinodontidae.
CCUGGUGUGUAGCCAGAAGUUUUUUAUCAGUUCAUAAAACAUAGUUCACCAGGCUGACCUCUGAACAUGUAUUUGCGCAUGCUUUGUUUGAGGACCUGGUAUAACUUGCUUCCAGGAUGAGCCACAAAGGAGUGGUACAUUGUGCAACUAAAAACAAGCGACAGAAAGACACCUGCUCCAACAGAGUGGCUCAUGACAGCCUCGCCUGCUUGGCUUUCGGAUAUCAAGAGAGAACAAGAAAUUCUUCCUUUGUGGAAUCUGAAUCUAGAAAACAGCCUGCGUACUUCUUUCAGUCUAACCUCAUGCUUUCUGUGAGCAGCUGUGUAGAUGGAAGUGCCGUUCUCUGGCUUUGAGCUCACCUUCAUCAUCUUGGCCUUCGUCAUCUUCUCCCUCUUCAGUCUGGCCUCAGUCUGCAUCCAGCCGGAAGAACUCCCCACGGAAGACACUGCGUAUAAAGGGAAGAAGACACAUCAACAAGUUAAGAAGAAGCAGAGAGAGAUCUCCAAACAGGCUCUACAGAAGCCUUAGAGCCACCAAUUGAAAUCAGCUUAAACAGGAACUGAACAUAAUCAGUGCCUUGUCUUUUGGCGUACUGCAGAUGAUCCACUGAAAAUGGAUAAAACUCUUAGAAAUGUUUGUUGGAUUUCCCCAGCAUGUCUUCAACAGGGCUUUUCAAUACUUUGUACAUGACAUAGACUUUUCCACUUUUCUGUUUUUCAAGCACAUACCAAACAUACAAAAAUUCAGGUGUAACCUUCAGAACACCUGGAGAAAUGCUGAUUGAGAUCACUUUAUAAUGUUAGGAGAAAGUCUGGCUCCUCGGAUGUGAAAUGAGAAAAAAAAGAAAAAGAUAAAACUACUGGAAAAGCUGUGAUCAGUUAUAUUCAAAAACACAUCAUGCAGUCUAAGAUCAUAUACUGCAAAAUGUAUCUAAACAUAAGAAAAUGUUUAUUUUGUGUGUUGGGUCUUCAUUUGAGUAAAAUAUAUAUCCAGUCCCUUUAUCUUAAAACAAAGAGCAGGUAAGGAAAAUUGUCUACCAAUGAAACCACGAUUUUUUUCCAUUAAAAUAAGCUAUUUAUUUAUAUGUAAAUAAGAUAAUGGAUUUGAUUUAUUUGUAUUUCUAAUUUUAAGUUGAAAAACUUUUUUUCAUUAGUAUAUCAUUUUACCCACCUAAUCAAACCAAGUGCAAAAACGUACAUUUUAAUGAAAAUGUUCUUUUGGUUCCCUUUUGCAGUGUAUAUGUUUGCAGAGGUUCUUGUUCAUUUACAACUUUACUUUUCCUUGUUUUUCUGACAUUUAUGACUCUAAUCUUCUUAAACUGUCUUAAAGGAAAACCAACAUAAAUGAUCAGCUCCUCUGAAAAAGGUUCUGGGUGAUAGUUUAAUAGGAUAAAAACAGUUUAAACAGUUUUUAUUACUUCAGUUUUAAGGGACAUAUUAUUGGAGAGCUAUAGAGAUCCAUUAAGAGCCCUUGAAAAAUUGUCUGGAGAAGCCAAAUGUCUGAGUUUGGAUUUAAAAAAACGAGUGACUUUUGGCCCCUUGAGCCCAUAUGUGUUGUCCUGCUGGUGAUCAAACUUUGCUCCCUGUUGAGUUUGCCCUUUGACCUUUGAGCUCUCCAUCAUUCCUCCAGAGUUAGGCGUCUAGCUGCCGACAGAGCCAGGAGGAGAGGCGCUGUGACAGAGACAGAGCUAAUUAUGCUGUUGUUUUGAAACUGCAGGGAGAAAAUUCAUCUCCAGCUCAGCAUAGGUGUUUUUCGUGAUUCUGUUUGUGUGAAAUCUGCUGUGGUCCAAACUUUAGCCGUUGUGUAUUGGGAGUUUGCUGCUGUUGAUGUGCAUAAAGCUUCAUUGGGCUCUUCACUGGGCAAUUAGAGAUAAAGGGUUUUAAGAGUAAUUAAGCCCUAGCAAGCUGCAGGCCCUCAUUAACACUGACGACCUUGUGGCAUGACAACAGAAGCUGCUAUCAAUCUAACGAUGGACAACGAACAGACCCAUCAGACCACAAUCGACACUCGCACACAGACUGAGGGCCGACACCCAAAAGCACCCAGACAUUAUGGAACAUCAGUUCUUACAAUCAUCAUACCAUCAGAACUGCUACUUCACUUUCUGUGAAAAUAAAAUGUAAAAAUGGCAGCUAUACAGAAAUAUUCUAUGGUGUAACUUCUCUAGAUUUCAAUCCCACCUCAUCUCUAUCAGCACUGACUGCUGUGGUUCAGGGAAAUUGUGCUUUUCUCAAUAAUGGAGCUUAAUAUGCUGCCAUCCCUAUGUUAACUUGAAGAAGCAAACAUAAAAGCUUAAAGAUCUAAAAAAAAAAAAUAAAAAUAAAAAUAAAAACUUCCAGAGCGGUUGAGCUGACAUUCAGUUAGACACAGUUCUCUGGAAGGUUUUCUAAUUUAAUCCAUUUUCAUCCACAAUCUUUUUUACAUAUAUUUUAUGUGAUAAACACACAACUUAUGGCAUAGAUUGAAAAAGAAUGAAUUGUGUUUUGUUUUGUGUUUUUUUAUUUCAAAUAAAGACCUGUAAAGCAACAUAUAGGGCAUAGGGCUUUGAAUCCUG